This is a long non-coding RNA of Haliotis rubra (blacklip abalone), 1111 nucleotides long. RefSeq lists it as uncharacterized. NCBI's taxonomy places the organism in Eukaryota, Metazoa, Mollusca, Gastropoda, Lepetellida, Haliotidae. The transcript has 2 exons. The record is from RefSeq and is a predicted model, not a curated record.
AACAUUAUAAGAAACAUACAUGAAAUAGUAAUAUGUACAUGAAAAUAGAACAUAGGUGAUGUUCUUCCAAUUAAUAUAUACUUUCUAUGUUGUAAUAUUAAACAGCUGUUUUUCAAGUAAAACACAUCUUAUGUGUGAAUAAAACUCAUAGCUUCUCAUGGUUUGACAGGUUUACAAGAGUUGGGGAUUAUAACUGCUAAACUAGUUUUUAUAUUCAUUAUACAAUAUAUUCCUCAUCUUCAGUCCUGUGAGUACAGUACUUUAUGUCAACUCUGUAUCACUCAGUUUCAAUUUGUACAGAUACUAUACCACAUCUAGACAUUGCAAUGGCACAGAUAUAUAUGGUGCACACAUCGUCAGAAAACCUGCAUGUAAAGUUUGCUAGUGGCUGUCAACAUAACGUUUCUGUAGCCUAUCAAGUACUUAUUCAUCAACAGAUCUUGUUAUUUUGCUGUGACUUGGUUUCAUGUUAAAGCUGAUGUUAGAUAUAUGCUGCACCUACAGAGCAGCUAAUGUUAUUUGCUUGUGAUUUUAUCAUAUCACAAAUGUUCCACUGUUUAUUUUGACUGUACAUAAUGAUUGCAGGCGAAUAUCUACUGAAAUAUGUUGAUUUAUUACUACUGAAUGGACAUCAUGCUCAUGGUAUUUGUGCUGUCAUGUUUACAAGAUAUACAUACAGAUUAAUUCUAAUCUUCUUGAUUUUAAUGUUCAUCUCUCAUUCUCAGGAUUUCAGUUUUAAUUAAAUUUAUGUUAAAUUUAUAUAAGAAACAGUCUAUAUUUAUAUUUGUAUGUAUAUAGAGGGAAAAGAUUACCUCUCACUUUAAGAUGGCAGUUGUGAUCACUGAUGCAAUAAAAUAAAGCUCAUGGAAUUAUUCAGUUUUUGUUCAUGGAUGUUACAUGUCUCAGCGGUACAUGCCUGCCUUGGAUUCUUAUGGCACUGAAUGUCCUAGGUGAAAUGGAUUCAUAUGACACUGAAUGUCCUAGGUGAAAUGGAUUCUUUUGACACUGAAUGUCCUUGGUGAAAUGGAUUCUUAUGACAUUCAGUGUCCUUGGUGAAAUGGAUUCUUAUGACACUUGAUGUCCUUGGUGAAAUGGAGCCAUCAGCUGGCCA